This 22-nucleotide microRNA is filed under the name Callithrix jacchus (white-tufted-ear marmoset). RNAcentral's name for it is "cja-miR-557". Its record names the gene cja-miR-557. The record is from miRBase by way of RNAcentral. Lineage: Eukaryota; Metazoa; Chordata; Mammalia; Primates; Cebidae.
UUUGCAUGGGUGGGCCUUGUCU